This 6441-nucleotide long non-coding RNA is filed under the name Lactuca sativa (garden lettuce). Its description in RNAcentral is "long non-coding RNA (LSAT_LNC005386)". Lineage: Eukaryota; Viridiplantae; Streptophyta; Magnoliopsida; Asterales; Asteraceae. The record is from RNAcentral.
AAAUGCUAAAACCAAGGUCCUAUAAUUCAUAUCUAAGCCAUAGAAGUGAUUUGGAAGGGUUUAAGGGCAUGAAAAACCCCAUUAACAUGAGUUUACGGCCCAAGCUUAUGCCUUGGCCGUAAACUCCUUCAAAGUCCUCAAAAUCAUAGUUUUAAGUGUUCUAAGUCCAUAUCUUGAAGUCCCUUAGCCAUAUCUAAAGUCCAAUUGAGUCUAGGAAGGAGUUUAAGGGCUAAAAACCCUUCAAAAUGGUGUUUACGGCCUAGGCAGCCUCCUGGGCCGUAAACUCACAUAUAUUGUCCAAUUUCAUGAUUAAGUGUCUAAUUUGGAAGCUAAACAUGCUAUAGAUUAAGGCUAGGAAGGUACCUUAAGGAUUUGAAGCCUUAAAUUUGAGUUUUGGACACUUAAUCUUUGGAUUUAGGAGAGAGGUUAGAGAGAGAGUAGAGAGAGAAGGAAAAAGCUUCAAAUGAGUGCUUAAACAUGUUUAUAUAGUUCCUAAAACUUGGACACGGUGGAAUUCUACCCGAUACCGGCCUUAAACGAAGCUUUGGGUCGCACCCGAUUGAGUUUCCGUCACCCGACGAGGAUAUUUCUAAAACUUAUGAAAUAAAUGUUUUGGGCUAAAUUCAUGAGUUCCUAAAUGAUUUGGACCCUCAUUGAAUGAUAAUAAACAUAUAAUUUUAGUUAACUAAACCCAAAAACGAUAUCGGGACAUUUCGAUCUCCGACGAGUUAUACGGGUAGAAUGGGUUUUCGGCGAUGAACAACUUCGGGUUGUUACAUUAUCCCCCCGUUAGAGGGAAUUUCGUCCCGAAAUUCAAAGAAUAAGAUACAGGUCAUGGAUUGGAAUGAAAUACGAAUGGAUUUGUUGCUUCGGAUCUUCACUUUCUCAAGUGGAAUCAGGUCUCUACUGGGCGUUCUAACGAAUUCUCAUUAUCGGGACAUGUCUUGGUUUCGCUUCUUGACUCUCUCUCAAUCUACGAUAUCAAUCUGCUUUCUCGUGGAAGUUCCAACCCUGAACGACUUCGGUUUCUUCAAGGAAUCACUAGGGUUUCGUUGGGCAGACGCUUCUAAGGAUUCGAGACGUGAUGGUCUAGAUAGAUAUUACCAAGCUCUAAGGGCAUCCGAAACCUGAAGGUUGCAGAAUCGAUCUCUACGAAGAUCUCGAAAGGUCUGAUGUGAGACUAAACUAGACGCUCGAAAGAAACUCCCGGGAAUCCUUCGGGAUAGACAUUUAGAGGGAAGAGCUGCUAACUUCCCGUUUCUCAAUAAUCACAGAAACGAGGGAUGCGUGGUAAUUCACAUUGGGAAAACUUUUGAGUUCUAAGGCAUAGAAUGAUACGAAAGUUUGAUGCCGAAGAUCACGAGAACAGGGUCGAGGAAAAAUCUAGACGAGCGACCCUUUCGAAAGUAAAGAUAACAACAUGAAUGAGACUCGGUCAUUUCUUGUUAAACAUAGCAUCAAAGUAUUUUCAUGGAAAGUUUCCCCCUUUUUAAAUCGAAUGGAACAGAAUAGUCCUCCGGACUGAGGAUUCAAUCUAUAGGUACGAAGUUAGUGUUCUCUAUCUCACUAGUUAGUCGUCUCGACGGUAUACAUUUCGAUUACAUGCGAAGGAUUGAGUUUAGAAUACGUUCGAAUAGAUAGAUAACAGGUUUCCCUUUUGCACCCAAAAUCGAAAAGAGUUGCAAGUAUAAGAAUUAUCAAAGAGAGAUAUACCUGCGGCAGCAGAGGGAUUUGUGGUUGUAGCUGUCUUGGGACAAUUCCUUUUGAAGUGCCCAGCUUCACCACAAUUGUAGCAGGCCGGACUGAUUCCCGCUCCGGAUGAUUGGUUCGUUGAUUUGGCUGGUUUUCUGCAGGUUCGAGCAAGAUGGCCCUUAUUGCCACAGUUGUCGCAGAUCCUUUCGCGACAUGGACCAGGAAUGCGGUGGUGGUAGUUACACUUACUACACCAAGGAAGGGUACCAGUGUAUCCACUGGCGGGAGUUUGGGCUGUGGAACCGACAGCUGAAACAGCAACAGGGGCAGUAGCAGCAUGGACUGCUACCGUUUGCUGUUUCUUAGAAGACCCUUGCGUACUCUGGGCCUUCCGCUUGUUCCAGGAUUUCUUUUUACUUCCGCCUCCACUAGUGACUGGCUCGGGGGUAGUAGCUUCUUCAUCAGAGUUGUCUUCGUGAUCUAUCAGGAUUUUCGCAAGGCACUUAGCACUGUCAUAUGUGUCUGGCUUCGCAGCCAAGACAUUCCCCUUUGUUGGCUGGGUCAACCCCCAGAUGAACCUCUCUAUCUUUUUACUCUCCGGGGUAACCAUUCCCGGACAAAGUAAUGCCAGAUCAUCGAAUCUUGAGGUAUAAGCAGCUAUGUCGGAACCCUUCAUCUUAAGGUUCCAAAGUUCGUGUUCUAGCUUCUGAAGUUCGCCCCGAGGGCAAUACUCUGCGAGAAGAAGCUCCUUCAUAGCUUCCCAACCCAUAGCAUUGGCUACAGGUAAAGUUAAGGAUUUGACUCGGCCAUUCCACCAAGUCAGGGCUUUGUCUAGGAAGGUACAGGCGGCAAACUUGACUCUAUCAGACUCCGAACAGCCACAUAUUUCAAAGAUUGAUUCGAUUCUCUCGAACCAUCGGGUUAAGGCAAUGACACCCCCUGUGCCAUCGAAGAAUGUCGGUUUUGCGUUCAUGAAGUCUUUAUAGGAACCCCCUUUUUGGUGUCCCUGGCUAUCAUCUGGGUUUUGGGUUUCACCUCCCGAACCCCUAGAGUUCAGUUGAGGUAAGAGAGCUGAUAUGGUAGCGGAAAUGGUUGCCUGAAGUGUUUCCAAAUCGAUCUGAAUAGGAGGUGGUGGAGGAGGAGGAUUGUUGUUGUUCGUUGAGCUGGGUCUCUUUCUUGGAGGCAUCUUGAUCUAAAAAGAUCAGGAAAGAGAGGAUCAUAAGUCCUCUGAAUUGAAUCAAGAGAUAUGGGACAGGAGAUAUCUCAUCAAGGCAAAUAUAGCAUCAUACAAAGCGAUAAAGCAGAAAGGAGUUAUCAAGAUAGAACAUUUUAUCGCUAGAGGAAUAAUCAAGGAAUAACGCGUAUACGAGAAUUUCUACAAAGGAUCGACUCGAGAAAUACUCCCAUAGUAUUUCAUGGUUCGCUGCAGCGAUGAUUCGUUGUUUGGGAUAUUAGGUAAGUUUUAGGUAUGCCGCAUGCCACAGUCACUCCCAAGCACAUGUUGGCCGUGUCUCGAAUGAAUAUAGUUGGCCAGGCUAUAUUGACCCUAGACACGACUACAUAACUGCCCAGGUUUAACCGCAGCGUACAACACCCAUUUACUUAUGUUUUGUUCUACUUAUAGUUACGGAUUUCGACGGCUCGGCAUACUUAAAUACUUUUGAAAAUACUUAUAUUUUGUAGGAUACUUUUAGUUCAGAGCACUUAGGCCCCUUAAUGUUUAUAGUUUUAUACCAUGUAAGGUUUGGUAUACUCUGUUCACUAUAAACAAGGGUUCUGAUACCAAUCAAUCACACCCCGAAAACCAAAGGCAGAAACAUUCCCGGGGUUGACUCCACAGUGAGUAUCAAAUCCAAUGUACAUAGUAAUCACAGUAAACAACCAUUAUAUUACAUAUAUAUAUGAAAGUUUACAUUUGGUUCAAAAGUAAAUUGUACAAAAGUUAUACAUAUAUCAUAUGAACAAAAGAGACGAGUCUUCAGAGCACUCCGUCUUCACCAAAAGAUAUCGCCGGGUACCUGUCUAACUUGGACCUGAGAAUACAAGCAGUUUGAAAAUCAGCAUAAAGCUGGUGAGUUCAUAAGCGGUUUUGUUUUGUGAAAAUGUAUCGGUUUCCUUUAGUUUUCUGAAAAGGUUUGAUAUCCAAGAAAAUCCCAUAUUUUCUUAUGUAAAGUAGUUAAGUUAUCUUUCGUUACAGUUCUGUUACAAGUUAUAAGUUAACCCCAGGAAAAUCCCAUAUUUUCCUAAAUGCAAGAUUGAUUGAAUAACACAUAGUAUAGUUUAAUAUACAAAACUAUAAUUUAGACGAACUGUAGAUAGAAAGUAUUUUGAAAACCUUGGGACUAACAUCCCGAACCAGUUAUAAGAUAAUUCGAUAAAGACCAUGGGAUCACUAUCCCGAAAAUAGAUAUAAGAUAGCUUGAUAAACCAUGGGAUCACUAUCCCGAAACUAGAUAUAUGAUAGAUUGAUAAAAUCAUGGGAUUAUCAUCCCGUAUAAGAUUUAGUUUCAAAACCAUGGGAUUACCAUCCCGAACGAGAUAUAGACACAAGAUCAUGGGAUUAUCAUCCCGAACGAGAUAUAGACAUAAAACCAUGGGAUUACCAUCCCGAACGAGAUAUAGAUACAAGACCAUGGGAUUAUCAUCCCGAACAAGAUUUAGAUUCUAAACAAAUCCUAGCUGUGAAUAAGUUUAUAUUAAUACGUAUUGUGAGUCGGGUAACCAUGCUGAUAUGACAACGAGACCUCCUUGACGUUAGUCAGACGUCGAAUGAUAUACAGAAUUUGUCACCCCAGGCGUGCCCGCCUAACUGUAGCUAGCAGUUAAGGUGUGGGAUUGUCAGUCCCGAAUAGAUCUAUUCACAAAUUCCUCGCUCUCCCUCCAGGAGACUCUGGUUACACUUCCGGAGAGGAUUUACUUGAUCAUCCAUAAAGGGUAGUGACUAUCUCACAAGCUAGUAUUAAACUAUUCACAGGAUUCUCAUACGAUACCAAACAUACAAAGAUUUCAAGACAUGAUACAGUGAAAAUAGUUACAUACAGGAAACUAUCUGGCAAUACAUUCAAAUGAUACGGAGAUAAACUGAAUCAGACAUAGUUUAUCAAAUAACUUUAUACAGAUAUCAGUACAUGAUAUAAAGAGAAUUAUAGAACCCCAAAUUAUUCCCAUAAUAAUUUGAUUAGUUUGGUUAUUUUCUUAACUAAAAUCCAUUUAGUUGAAAUCGAUAAAUCAUUCCUUAUGCUCAACAUAAUACAUAAGGAGUAAAAGAGUUUAUAAGUUUGCCAGAUAUUAUUUGAAACACAUAAAUGUUAUGAUUUGAAAACAGUUUUGGUUUGCUUGUAUUCCCCCCCUGAAAACAGUUAAAAACAGUGAAAAAGGCGUAGGGGUAUGAACUCACCGGACGAGAAAUGUGACGAUUUGGAUGCUAAGAGUUGAUCCGGGGCUUGUAAAUACACGAGGUUCCUAAUUAUAAUGUAAAGAUACACAUUUGUAUCUAAUUAGGACUUAGUUUAUUCAUAUGAUAGGGACACUUGCUUCAAGUCGCGAAAACACUCCGAUACGAGUGUUUGGAGGGACCCGGGUGGCGUUUAAGGACGUGAAAUGACACUAGGGACUUGGGACUUGAGUUUACUCCCCAUGAGUAAACUAAUAUAAGAGUUUUUGGUCUAAAACACCCAUUCCCCAUGAGUUUACGGCCGUAAACUCAUGGUGGGUGUGGUUUAAGGUGCUAAAUGACUUCUAACACUUAGGGGAUAAUUUCUAGACUUGGUUUAAGGACUUGAAAGGAUUUUAAAACAUAAAAUAGACCCACUUAUGGGAGUUUACGGCCUAGCAUGGCUCCAUGGCCGUAAACUCCUAUUUUUCCAAGAAAAUGAUGUUAAAUGGAGCUAGAACAAAUCACAUGUGAUUAAUAGAAUUAUUUCAAGGCCUAUUAUGAGUUUGCAAGGGACAUUUGUGGAGUUUAUGGAGCUUACGGCCCAUGAGACCCCCUCAUGGCCGUAAACUCAUUUAUANUCUUCUAUAGGGUGCUACAAGGUGUUUCAAGGUCUAAAACUUGCAUAGAAGGGCUUCUAAAAUUCAUCUAAAGGCUUUAGGGGUGUUUAGUUAGCAUUCUAACACCAUGAAUCAUGGAGUUUACGGCCCAAGAACAAGCCUUGGCCGUAAACUCUUAAAAAUCCCACAAAUAAUGUGUUUAAGGCCCUCAAACUAUUUUUGGUUGGUCCAUUGAUUUAUUCCAAGGCUUUUGGUGGUGUUGGAUGGGUUUCUAACACCUUAGAAUUGAAUUUAUGCCAAGUUUUGAGGAGUUUAAGGCCCAAGCACAUGCCUUGGCCUUAAACUCACAUAAGUCCCCCAAAUAUCAUGUUUCAAGUAUCCAAAUGCUAAAACCAAGGUUCUAUAAUUCAUAUAUAAGCCAUACUAGUGAUUUGGAAGGGUUUAAGGGCAUGAAAAACCCCAUUUACAUGAGUUUACGGCCCAAGCUUAUGCCUUGGCCGUAAACUCCUUCAAAUGACUCAAAAUCAAAGUUUUAAAUGUUCUAAGUCCAUAUCUUGAAGUCCCUUAGCCAUAUCUAAAGUCCAAAUGAGUUUAGGAAGGAGUUUAAGGGCUAAAAACCCUUCAAAUUGGUGUUUACGGCCUAGGCAGCCUCCUGGGCCGUAAACUCACAUAUGUUGUCCUAUUUCAUGAUUAAAUGUCAAAUUUGGAAGCCAAAUAUGCUAUAGAUUAAGGCUAGGAAGGUACCUUAAGGAUUUG